AAAUCAUCCAAUUUUGUGAAAAAAAACAUAUAGUUAAUACUAAUGAAGAGGACAUUAUGUCAGCUAGUCUACUAUAUUUCAAGGAGAUUUUUGAUGACUAUCUUUCAUACGCCUCGUUUUUACAAAGUAAACCAGAUAAGUAUAUACACACAUGUAAGUGUUUUUUUUUUUUUUUUGAUAAAUAAUAUUAGUAUAUGAUCAGGACAAUAUACUUAAACUAAAAUGUAGAUACAUAAUAUAAAGACUUAGAUGUACCAUAUAUUAUUGUGCAUACUGUAUUAGUGGACGGAGGGAGAUACAUGUAUCUCUAUAUUUUCGAUGCCAAUAAGAUAAAUUGUACUUAGUUAUAGUUUCUAAUACGUUAUAUUUAACUAUCAUAAUCCUUAUACAUAUGAACGUACAUAUAAUCGUGUUUAAAGAAAUUCGAAUUAUAGAGAUUCGUGAAAAAAAAAUUCGAAUUGUAGAGUGUGCCUCACCGACAGACAUUUCGAAUUAUCGAGGGGACCGGAAUACAUGUAUUUUUUUCUAAUUAUAGAGGUUUUCUCAGGGGACUUAGCGU
This is a long non-coding RNA of Rhopalosiphum padi (bird cherry-oat aphid), 559 nucleotides long. RefSeq lists it as uncharacterized. NCBI's taxonomy places the organism in Eukaryota, Metazoa, Arthropoda, Insecta, Hemiptera, Aphididae. The record is from RefSeq and is a predicted model, not a curated record. The transcript has 4 exons.